This 524-nucleotide long non-coding RNA is filed under the name Rattus norvegicus (Norway rat). RNAcentral describes it as "long non-coding RNA NONRATT002590". Lineage: Eukaryota; Metazoa; Chordata; Mammalia; Rodentia; Muridae. The record is from RNAcentral.
CCGCAAAGUGCAGGCAGAAGAUACUCCAAAGGACAGAGACUGGUCACGGUCCUGGGAGAGUUCUCUCUGCUUCCUGUUCUGCCAAGAUGUGAAGAGCUACAGUCAUGUGAGCAGGCUGCCUCACGCUCUGCAAGCACAGCCAUGAAACAUAGUCACCUCCUUGACUUCCCUUCCAUGACGGACUGGACCUGCAAACUGGGAGCCAAGCAAGUCCUCCUUGCCCAUGGAAGCCAGAAGAAGGUGCCAGAUUCUCUGGAGUUGUAGUGAGCUGCCAUGCAGAUGCUGUAAUUGAACCCGGAUCCUCGUCAAAGCAGCCGUGCUCUUAACUGCUGAGCCAUCUCGCUAGCCUCUGAAGCUUCUAUUUAAAGGCCUAGGAGAUGGUCUUUGGGCAACUGGGGUGGUAUGAACUUGGGCUUCCUUAGAAGCAUCAAAGAGCUGUUGUCACUGCUGUUAGAUGGACUGUUAGAUGUUAGACGUCAUGACAGGCUGUGCCUCUUCAAAUCAUAAAUCAUACAGCCUUCUUG